CUGCCGCCUCGGCUGCGGGCGGCUCGGCGCCUGUAUUUACGGCACCCAACCAACGGAACGCGACAGUGUCGCAAAGAUCGUCUGCUUUUGUGACCUAAUCUUCGCUUGCGUCGCGAACUUGUCAACUCUCCACGUCCACGGUACGGACAAGCCCGCGCUCUUGUCAAUAUCUGUGCAUACAGGUUUUUGAGAGGCUUGUCUCUUGCCUCAUGUUUUGCCUUCAUAAAGUGAAGAUAUCUUCAGAAUAGUGACUUUUGAAUCACCACAAUAUUCCCAGUCAAAGGAUGAAGUUCAGUGAGGUUGGAAGAGUGGCUCAGGGUGCACGACAGGUCCUAAUUCCUCAUCACGGGACGCUGCAGUCUCUGAAGCCGGCUCAGACCCAGUGCAGAGCCAGAAGGAGGCAGGUAAAUGGGAGAGAGGUUUUUCCCAAAGGGGUGUGUUUUGAUCCUCGCAGUAGGUUAGAUGCAUGUACUUAUCUUUGGCCAAUUAACCACUGCUUUUCAUGGAUCCUGUAGGCGUGAGUAGACUCUCCUCCAGACGUUCUCUCCCAAUGUGCAAAACACAUCCCGAACACCACUGGUUGCCUUACUGCGCUUGCACCAGCGGAUCUGGCCUGCAGGGUACCGGUUCCCACCAGUCAGGUCUGGCAACUCCUUGCUGCUUCCAAACUGUCUCUCCCUCCCCCUGCUGCUCAGUCUGAUUCCUCAACUUUGCCUUUGAUGUUCAAGGCUCCUAGAUUGUCAUAUAUAAUCGAUUGACUUGUUUUUUUGGGGGGGUCUUUUUUGUAAGAGGGACCACAGGAAGUAUCUGACUACUCCACUAUCCUGGCACUGCCUAUAGUGUAUUUUUUUGUACCUUUUGAAUUUCGUACCAAGUGACUGUAUUCAAAGUAAAAUUUAAAUUAGUAAAAAGACUGAUACCAAAAUGUUAGUAGUGUUUAACUAUGGAUGCUGAGGUUUUCUACAAUGAACACGUUAGUUUUAGAACAAAAAAACAAAAUACCAAACCCAUUGCUGUCAAGUCAAUUUCGACUCGUGGUGAUCCCAUGUGUUGCAGAGUGGAACUGCUCCAUAGGCUUUUCCUGGCUGAAAUCUUUAUGGGAAGCAGCUCGCCAAGCCUUUCUUCUAUGGAGCCACUGCUCCUUUAGGUUAGUGGCCCAUCACAUGCUUCUUGUACCCACUGGGGGCCUUAGUUGUAGACUUAGGGGGAAAUUUUGUUGAGGGAAUAUUAUUCAAUCUGUAUUUUCCUACUAAUGUGGUAUCUAGAAUUCUUUGACCAGGGAGAUCUUCAGAGUCUGAAGGAUGAGUAAACCAUAGGUUCAUAGGCUGAUAAAACUUUUUGUUAUCUUCAUACUUCAUGGCAGGAAAUGCAUACUGUAUAAACUGGAAAUCACUGUUAGUUGUCUCAAAUAAUCUUUUUUGUGUUGGAGCUCUGUUUACCCAGUUAGAGUUAUGAAAGAUAUUUGAAUAUGAAGCUGAUUAUCUCAUGGAAAAGUUACAGGCUAUCUAGAAAAAGACAGAAAAUAGACAUCCCAUAAUAAAAUUUAUGCUGUUAUUCACAAUGAUAGGAAAUCCUUUCCCCAAGCCUCUUUCAUCUCACCACCAUUAAUCUAAUUCAUUUUGUAAGAUUUAAAUGUCAGCUCUAACGUACUAGUAAAUGACUGCUUCCUGCUAAAAUGUGAGUUUGGAAAAUGUUGCAUUAUACUUCCUAUGAAAAUUUGCAGUUAUAUUGAGGAAAAGAGAACAGAAAAAAUGUAAUGAGUCAGGAAUUAGUUCUUAGGACUGAGGCAAAGUUUGUCUUUUGAAACUUUUCUUCUUGAAUAUAGAUUAGGUUAAGCGGCUGGCUUCAAUUGCAGUCUUUAGGUCCUUCCUUGAAGCUUAGGGGUUACUGGGGAGUUUUAUCCUUAAGAGACCUGUGCAGCAGACAGGAUGAGGUCAGUGCACUCAACACUAGCAGAGCAGGAACAAACUGCUGGGGGAAGGGAUUAGGAGGAACAAAGGAGGACACAUGGGAGAUGGGUGUUGGUAGAGGAAGCUGAGUAAGAAAAGUGAUAUGCAGCAAGGAUACCAAAGAAACUAAAAAUGGAAAUAUGAGUAAGAAGAGGAAAAAAGAAAAAAACAGUUUAAAGAGACAAAGGGAAGGGAGGAACCAUCCAAAAGAAAUGAGAAUGGAAUUUCUUUUUUAAAAAGCACAUUAUGAAAUAGUACUGAGGUGGGGAAAUAUUGAAACAAAAGUGGGAAAUAGUAUAACCCCAAUACUAUAACCAAAGAGAUGGAGAAAAAUCAGGAGAUUUACAGACUCCCCUGCCAGCCAAUAUUAUUACAAAUUAAAAGGAACCACUAAAAUAGAUUCAGCUGAAGCACAAAACAAAAUAGAAAUUUUCACUUUACAGUAAAACUACUCUGAUUAAAUCUCUUCACUGGUUUCCCAAUUCAGCUGGUGGUUUUAGACUCCUGUGAGAACACAGCAUAAAGGCAGAGAUUGCAUCAUCUCACCAUGGGGCAGGAACCUCUGGUAUGCAGGGUGUAUCUGGCUGUCAGUAUAUUUUAUCUAAUCCACAGAUGAAUUAUUACCAAGAGGCGAUACACUGUCAUUCAUGCUUACAGUUAUGAAAAAGAUGUUAUGAUAGUAAAAUCCUUAAUGGAAAUAUGGCAAAAGGCCACAAGAUGGUGAUGGUAUACCCUCAGUUGAAAUGGUAUAUCCCAAGAGACCUCAUUCAUCUGCAAAAUGAGAUGUGCACACGCAUGUGCGCACACACAUACACGCACAGACUUGAAACAGGCUGCUAAGCCAUAUUUAAAACGCCAAUCAACACCCCUUCCCCCCCCAUUGUCUUGCUAACCAGAAGCUUGUUUUGAGCAGGAAGUUGCAGCAGGUAGCGGCUCUGUCCACUGACUAGCCCUAGUUACACCUUGAAGCAUGCACAGAUUGAAAUCACAUCCUUCAACUGACCCCCCUGCCCACCCCCAAAUAUAGGCAUGGGAGGGCUAAAGGCAGAAAAUUCCGGGUACCAAACCCAACCCCCUGAAGCCAUUGGAAACAAAAAGCUCCCCAGCCCCCUUAGUCAGUGAGCACGUGGCCUUAAGGUCACUAGACCCCACAACGAUCCUUGUAUGAGCAGACAAUAAACUUGCCACUUUCUGUUUCCGUUGCAGUCAGUGUCCCUCUUAUUUCAAUCGGCUAAUAAGAUAGGACAAGAAACCGAGUGGCAUUCGGUUACAAAUUCUGGCGACUUCUGCCAGGACGGCUGACUGUGAAACCCGGUCAGUGAGUAUCCGGACCCCUGAUACCCCUUAAGGCGCGCCCGAUCUCAUUUGAUCGUUAAGGGGUCUUGGGUGGCUGCCGUGAUUUCCACUCCGGACAAAGUCCGCCGCUUCCGCACCUCAGCUCGGGAACAGAAACUGGACGGGAGAGGCCUCUAACUUCAGGUAAGCGCGCUGGACCAGGUAGUUCCACUGGUCUCGGGAAUUAGGCAAGAAGAGGGUGGCCAAGCGCAGUCUUAAGACUCAGACCCCAUAAAAACGAGGGAAAUAGGGGUUGUGGCCCACUGGGACCCACUUGCGCCUAAUUAAGGGGCCCUCGCCCCAUUGGCGGUUUGGGGGGGUUCAAGUCCCUCUGCGGUUUUUGGCAACAUUCUUCUCUUUCUCAUCUUAGUAUCCACUCUGCUCUUUUCGCUCUCCGUAUUUUAUUUCCUCUUUCUUUUCCAUGUAGAAAAGGGUGUUUUUUUGGUUUUUUUUUUUCCCACCCCUGAGAAGACUGUAAUCCCAAGAAUUACCAACCCUAGCUGUGGGUUGUAGAUGUAGGUCUCGGUUUAAGAAUAGCCCAAGAAAAUAAGCUUGAGAGUCCCGUGGCCUUAAAGUUUUUUUUUUUCUGUUUCUUAAAAAAAAAAAAAAAAGAGAUACAUGGCGAAAACAGAUUUUCAGUCUAGACUGGGAUCUGAAUCAGAAUACAGAGAACACCCUGGGCACAGUGUUAAGAUUUUAAAAAGAGGUUAUGUCCCAGAGCUAAAAAAAACUCUUGGCUGCAGUGCAUGAGACAAAUAAGUUCCUUUUUCGCUAAAAGAAAAGCUUCAAAAACUGAAAGAAGUAGAGGGUUAAAAGUCUCCUGGCUAAUAGAACUGGCCUGCCAAGUUUACUCUGAGAUAAAGAGAAAGAAAUUGUUAUCUUUUGGCUUUCCAAAUGCCUAAAGACACUUAAACAUAUGUAAAUGAAUCGGGGCGACCUAAUCUUGUCUUCUACCUGGAUUUAAAAGGUAGGUAGGGUGGGACAAAAUCAGGCCUCCUCAGCCCCCAGCCCUCAGCCACCAAGGUCAAAUAAAAAUCAUAAUGACACACCCAAAAUGGCCUAGAAAAAUGUUUCCAACCCUAGCCAGAGACUUAAGAGGUUAUAUCCAUAUCAAUAAAUUGGUCAAUUAAACAGAGACUUUGUGAUUUCCAGAGCCAGUUGAUGAAAUCUUUAAUGGCUAAAGUUAGAUUGGAAAUAUAUAUAUAUGGGAAAUAGUAAAAGUUAAAUGAAAACUUGGAAUAUUUAAAGCAACUUUAUUUCAAAUUGUUAUGAUUUAUGGUAUACAGGCUUAAAAUAAUUUCUAAGACCUUUUAGGUAACUUAUUGAUGUUGAAUUAAUAGAUAUUUGUCGUAAUUUAAGCUUAUAUACUUUUGCUUUUUAUACCACAAGAGAAAGGAUAUAUGUGUGUGUAUAUUUGGGUCAGCUCAUACAUGAGUUCAUUUUUGCCAUUUAAAGGGGUGUACUAUUUUUUUACUAUAAGAGAUAUACAACAAAGACAAGUUUUAAGAAGUUUAUUAAAAAGAAAUUUAUUUGGUAUGGUCAAAAGUUUUAUCUGAAGUUUAAUGGUUUAAUUUAUGAGAUUUUUAAGAGCUUUUAUAGCACAUAAAUAAUUAGGUUUCUCGCUGUUAAAAUAGCAAAAUUUUCUUUCAUUUCUGAGUUAAAGAGUUAAUUGAUUUAUGUAACCUGCCUCUAAAACAAAGGUUCAGUCUCAUUAGAAUAAGGUACCUGAGUCAGAAACCGAGCCACAUGGCUUUAAGAAGAAAAAAGGCUAAUGUUUUUAAGAUCUUUGGUGAAAUAACUUAAAUAUUGUUUCACAGUAACUUAUGAUAAACUCUUGACAAGUUUGAAACUUCAUGGAAAGCCAUAAAAUUUUUAUAAAAGUGCUGAAAAAGUUUAUUUAACAUGUUAUAAAAUACAUGGAACCUGUUGUUAAAAUCAAGAGAAGUGCUGAUUCUUCCUCUUCGGGUUAAAAUUUAUAUGUUAGUAUUUCCUCUUAUGUGUUUGCCUAAUAUUAGACAACAAAUGCAUAACAUUAUGUCACAAUUUUAUUUCUUUAUUGCUAACUUGGUUCAAACUUUAUUUUUUGAAUCUAACAUCAUCAAAGCCAGUAGUUUUACUGGAGAAUUCAAAUCAUUUACCUAUGAAGUUAUUUAUUUUUUUUUUAUUACUAUUCAGGUAGAGACUUGAUAAUCUUGGUAUAUUCUUAGUAUAUACUGACUAUAUAGUUUUAUGUCUCAAGAUUAUUAUGUGCUAUGUCUGAAGUUCUUUAAAAAUAUGGUUAUUAGUGGGUAUAUUUAAAAAUAUUUUUAUCUGAAGUGUUUUUUUUUUUUAACUGAUUUUAUUCGGCCUUUGUAUUAUGCUUGUAAUUAAUUUCUAUCAAGUCUUUGCCUUUUAAGAGUUAUGUUUAUAAAUUAAUCAUGGCCAUAAUAAGUUUUGUCAUCUACAGAUAAAUUUUUGCUUUGCCGAUUUUCUGAAAACAUUUGACCAGAAUAUCUCAACAAAAAAUAUGGACUGUAUAGAACUUGCAAAAAAAGUCUGUGACUAGACUUAAUCAAGAUUUCCAGAACUCUAUAAGAAGCUGAUGGUUUUGCAAACUGCAGCCAAUCCAGAAUCACCUGCAACAGAAGUUAACUACAUAAGACUGAGUAAAUGAAAUGAUACUAUGGGUUUUAUGUAAAAAUAUUUCUGAUAUUUUGAAGUCUUUCUGGAAAUAAUGCUUUAAAGUCCUACAUUCUAAAUAUAAGAAAUCAUUUUCCUCUUUUCUCCUAAAUUAUCUACCUAAUGGGUUUAAUUAUUUUAACUCUUUAAUUAGAAGUUCCUUUUGGUAAACUUACCAAAGAUGUAAAUAUCAUAACCAGAAAAGUGUGUAAAAUUUGAGCUAUGAUUUUACAGAUUAGAAUAACAUCAGAUUUUCUAUUAGUUCUCUCAAAGAAUAGUUUGUUCCUUAAUAGAUAAAUGUUGCUGUGUUUAUAUUAAUACACAGUCUUAGGUUUGAGAGAAUGUAGUUGUUCCUGAGACACAUGAAAAACAGUUACUGAUGCUACUUAUGUGUAAACAAACACCUCAUGAGAUUUGUUUCCUUGGUUCAAAGACCUUAGAGUCAUGGUUUCAUUAAUUAUUUCAGACAAUUGGCCUAGUGUUAGUGUUUCUAUUCUACCUCCUGAUUUAUUAUAUGGUGCCUGAGAUCUUAAAAACCAGAUAGUACCCAAUUACCAUUUAUUAAACAUUUUUAAUCAAAGAUUCUAUUACAAGAUCCUGAUCCAAAGAGGGAACCAUGAAAGACUAUAUGAUUUUCCUAAAAUCCAGAUUUCUGACUUUCAUAGAGGUUGGGACAACCUACAUAGGCCAUCGCCUUUGGGUGUCCUUUUAAUUAAACCUUGAGCUUUGAGAAAAAAACUGAUUCCUAAAGCUACUUGUAGUCAAACAAUUGUCCAGAUACACGAACAAGACCAUUUUGCUCCAGAUGUUAUGCUUUUUUUUUUUUUUUUUGAAGAAUUCAGUCUGUUUUGAGAAACUGACUCCAAAAAUCAGUAAACAGAGUUAUAUUUAAGGUAAAUCAGUAAUUGGUUUAAUCAGCUUUUAAGAUAAUGUUGUAUGAAAUACCUGUCUAAUGCUUGUAAUCAAACUCUUAACCUCUUGCUAUAUAGAAAAUUAUGUAACUUAAAGAAAUCAGGUUCUCAGAGAUCAACCUCAUGACUCAGACUCCAUUUUGUCUUAAAUUCCACUUCUGCUUUUGAGAAGGUGACCCAUGACUUAAUAAGUAAACCAAUGAGACACAGCUUGCCCUCAGGAAAAACCCUUAAUAUAUUUUAGACAGAUUAACUAGAGAGCUCCAACAGGAGAAGUCCAUCCUGUAUUAUCUUGCUAAUCACGUAUUCUUUAACAGAAACUUGUUUGUGAUAUAUAAAUUUUUCUAUGCCUUCUGUUUUCUCUAGACAAACUUUGUGUGCCUUAUAAAUGAUACGUUUUAGUGUGGUAGAUCCAACUAAACAAAUUUAGAUGAUCCCUUUCCAACUAAUAGUGAAUUUACAUAGACAAUCUCUUGUUUUGAUUCCUAGCUAAUCUGGGCAAUGAAUACGCUUUGAGAACUUUAAGAUUAUCUUUAGAUAUCCGUAGUAAAUAGUAGAAAGGUAAUGUUAAUUUGUUAUCCUUUGUAAAAGGACAGUCAGAAGAAAGCCCACUGGUCCAACACUCAGGUAUGGUUGGUAAAUUUAAUUCCUACUUACAGUAUAUUUGAAUUGGAGAAAUCUUUAAGAAAUUUAUCCAUCGCUAUGUGACAAAUAACAGACACAGGGAUGUUGUUAGUGACAUAGAAACACAACAGUGAUCUCUACCUCAUUAAACCAAGGUGACAUGAGAUAACAAAAUAGCCUUAGAUUUUUAUUUAUUGGUCCAAGAAAGUGUAAUAUGUGCUGUAGCAAAUACCUCUUGUUACAUUUAGAUAAAUAACACAGGAGAAAUAGAACAGGAUAUACAUAACACUGGAUAGCAAGGUACUUGGUCACACACUAUAACACCCUUACAAACACCAGAUUUAUUUGUACUUUUCUUUUUACAAGUAAUAUUCUUAAUCUACAUCCUGGUAAUAUUAGGCAUAAUAAAAAUUUAUCCUAUUGUCUUACACACCUCAAAGACAAAAGGCAGCCUUGGGCUAAAAUGUUGAUGUACAUUGAGUCUGCUCACUUCAACAAUACAAUUAAUGAGAACUUCGCUCUUAAGAUCCUGGUGAAAAACCAGAUCAUAUCCAGUGGAAAACCAGCACCGUGAGUUUGAAGAACCUGCCAUGGUCGCCAUGUAGGAGCUUGACUAAGUCCAGGUAUUGAUCAUCGAUGUGGUAUUUCCAAUCUCUGACCAAAAGGAAGAAAUGAUUUAAGAAAUAAUAUUAGAGUCAUUAUUACCUGUCCUUGAGCAUAGAGAAUGUGACCCAGCUAGAGCUGGACUCACAAGGACACAUCAACUAGGCCCUGAGGUAUAAAGACAAUAGAAUCAUCUUAGAAAAGGUCUUGUAGGGAAACUUUCACAUAAGCCAGAACACAAAAGACUUUCCACUCUUAUCUUUUUCUAUUAACACCUAGUAAACAGAAAUUUGUUGGACCAAUGAAGACCCUCCUGACUGUCGUUACUGAAACCUGUACCAAUAAUCAUUAAAAAAAGACAAUUCAGAAUAUAAGAUCACAGGUUCUAGCCAAUUUGUGAAAGGGUGAAGCUUUCAAUGACUUUGCUCAUUUUAUACCCUGUAAUAUUCUUAAGACUUGAAAAGACAUGACUCUAACAACAUGCUUGUCUACUUCCCACUUUUGCCUUUUUUUUAAAAAAAAAAAAUGAACCAGUGAAAAGAUUUAAGUGGCUAUUCAAGAGAUGAAACAAAGACCGGUAAAUAAGUAUCAUAAAAAUAAGUACUAUAAAAGUAUUAAGAAUUGUUUUUGCCCUAGCCAUUUUACUAAUUUCUAUUUUAACCUUUGCUUGUGUUGUUCCUCUCUCUACAUAAGCUUAUGUGUCUUGGUGUAUGCCUUAAUGAGUUAAUGCCUUGUCCCCUGAAGGGUAGAGUCAUUUCAAGUGAUUGAAAAGUUCCAGCUCCAAAUGAUGGUUGCCCAGAAAUUUCGAACCACCCCCCUAUCAAGAAGGGAGACAACAGCCUAAUAAAGGGCCACUAUAGACUCAACGGCACUGGGUGGGAUAGAUACAAGAGAGAUAAAACAGUUUAACUCAGACAACACAAGAGUUCCACUUCUCUAGGCCUUAGACCUCUACGCCCCCAUCCAGCAAGAAGCAGCCAGAGAGACACGGCGCCCUGUUUCCCAAGAUUGAGAAACCUACAACAAAAAGGCGGGAUUGAAACAGGCUGCUCAGCCAUAUUGAAAACCCCACUCAACACCCUUUCCCCCCCGUCUUGCUAACCACAAGCUUGUUUUGAGCAGGAAGUUGCAGCAGGUAGUGGCUCCGUCCACAGACUAGCUCUAGUUACACCUGGAAGCAUGCACAGGUUGAAGUCGCAUCAUUCAACUGACCCCCUGCCCACCCCCAAAUAUAGGCAUGGGAGGGCUAAAGGCAGAAAAUUCCGGGUACCAAACCCAAUGCCCUGAUGCCAUUGGAAACAAAAAGCUCCCCAGCCCCCUUAGUCAGUGAGCACGUGGCCUUAAGGUCACUAGACCCCACGCGCUCCUUGUAUGUGCAGGCAAUUUCCGUUGCAAUCAGUAUCCGUCUUAUUUCAAUCGGCUAAUAAAACAGGACAAGAACCCAAGUGGCGUUCAGUUACAGACUUACCAGUUUUUCCUUAGCAAGAAAUGGCAAGCCAGGAGCAAAGAGAGAUUUCAAGAGCGUAACCUUUAAACAAUAACCAAAAUUUUUUUAUAACAAAAUUUAGCUGUGUUUAUCCAUUUGGUUUCUCUGUUUUCUCAAUAAAAAAAAAAAAAAAGCAGUACUCCAUUUACAGGCUCCAGAAGAUGAAAUUUCCCUGAAAAGUACAGUUUUAUUUUCUUGACUAUGUAAUUUCUUUUCCUUACUCAUUAGGGAAGUGACUUGCAGGGUUAAUCCUUUACUUUAAAUGGGUGUGACAUUUUAGGUUAAUAAUGAUUCAUAGUAAUACAUGGACAAGUUUAACUUGCAAACAUGCAUUAUAUCUGUGAAUUAACAGAGAAUAAACAUUUGCAUGGGGGAAUACAAUAGAAUCCAGGGACUAAAAUGCCAAAAAGUAACUAAAGGAGAAAAAACCUAAUGGAUUUUCUAGAGUCAUUGACCUAAAGCUGUUAAUAUGUAUCAGAAUGUCAUAAAAAUAUUCUUAUCUUUGACUCUCUAAUUACAUGUCAAGGAAAUUAUUUUAGAAAAAUAGAUUCAUAGGAAGUUGUAUAAGGGUGUUUAUUAUAUCAUUAUUUACAGUAAUGAAAAAUAUUAGAAACAUCACAGUGUGGAAUUGAUCAAAUUAUCACACGUCCAUAAGCUCGAGUGCUGUGCAAUCAUUUAAAUCAUGUUUUUCCGGGCAUUCUGAUAUACUAGUUGUGGGAGUAUAAAAAUGGGUUAAUCUUUUGAAAAGGUAAUUUGGUAUUAACUAUCUAAAUUGUAAAUGUGUAUAUUCUUUGAAUCAACAUUUCCACAUCUAGAAAUUUAUCCUAAGAAAAAAUUUGACAGAUAUGCAAAUGUAUGUGAACAAAAUGUUCACUGAAACUUUGUUUAUAAUAGCCAGAAAUUGGAACCAACCAAAACACCCAUCAAAUUAUGAUAUGGUCUUACAGUGGAAUAUGAUCUAUCAGUUGAAAAGGGUAAGGUAGAUGAAUGUGUACUGAAGAGAGGAACAAUAUAUAUUGUUGAGUCAUCAAAGCUGUUAGAAAAUUACAUGUUUUCUAAGUUUAUAUAAAUAAAUAUGCAAAAAUGUCUAGGAGGACAUAGUAGAAUACGGAUAAAUGUUUAAAAACUAGCUCUUUGGAAAAAAUAGUCCUGAUAUGUGGUUUAAAUACUUCUGUCAUGACUAAUUUCAAGCUAUCAAUGUAUAGUUAUUGAACAUGGAUGGGAGGAUAUGCACACAGUCAGCCUGAAUGAGCUGGUGUGAGCAGUUUCCAGCAUACCUGUGUAUCUCUCUCUGGGAGGUGAGAUUAUGGGAUUAUUAUGUGAUUAUAAUUUACAUACUAGGAGUCCUUGUGGCGCAAUGGUUAAGCACUCGGCAGCUAACCGAAAGAUCAGUGGUUCAAACCUACCAGGCACUUCACGGUAGAAAGAUGUAGCAGUCUGUUUCCGUAAAGAUUUAAAGCCUUGGAAACCUUAUGCGGCAGUUCUACUCUGUCCUAUAGGGUCACUAUGAAUCUGAAUCGACUCAAUGAAAAUGAAUGGGGUAGGUAAUUUAUAUACUUCUGCAUUUACAUUUUUGAAAUGAAAUUGUAUUGCUGUUAUAAUCAACGAAAAGAAUCAAUACCAAUUUGGAGAAACAAUCAUUUUUUAAAAGAAUAUUUGAAGACCUGAGAAGAUAACACAAUUGUCAAGUAAAAAACUGUAUAUCACAAAGCAGAUAUCUUGUAUGAUACCAAUUUCGUUAAAAAGAUAAAAGUAUAUGUAUAUAAAUAAUCUAUGAGACCAGACUGUCAACAUUUACCCUAAAAUAUGAGAAGCUAAGGAAGGGCAGGGAAGCUAGAAUAAUGGAAGCAGAACAAACAGAAUGGAAAUAGUGAGAAUGUUGACACAUUGUGUCUUGGAACAAUUUGUAUAAAAAUUGUUAAAUGGGUAACUAAUUGGCUAUGUAAACUUUCACCUAAAACACAAUAAUUUUUUAAGGAUGAUAACUGAAUUGUACAAGUGACAAAUGUUUAAUUGGCAAAUGUUGCAUUAUCUAUAUUUUUUUACAAUAAAAAAUAACAAAAAUAAUUAGAUUUAAAAAACAAAAUUUCUUUAAGCUUGAAAAUAUAUUCUUUCCAGGAUUAUAUAAACAGUAAUAGAAAAGUGACAAAAUUUUACUCCUGCAAACUUAUCUACCAUAUGAACAAUACAUAUGGAUUUUAGCAGUGUUACACAUGGUGCUCUGUAAGACUGUAGGAAGAAAAUAACUUCAACCAUCAAAACUGUAAAUGCACUUGUGGUAAUUAAAAAAAAAGUACAAAGCUAAACUAAUAUGUAACUAAAUUCUUCAAUUUCUGUGAAAAUCAAAACAAUUAUGUAGAGAAGAGUAAAGACUUUUGCAGUAGUAAAAGUAAAUCUAACCUAGGGAUUUAGUUUUAUUUCAUAUAACUGGAUGAUAAAUUUUAUUUAUGAUUUUUAUGAUAGCCCCCAAAUAUACUAGUUUUUCUGCAAAUAUUAGAAAAUAACAUUUAAGAGGCUUAUAUAAUAUACAUUUUAAUUAAUUAAAAAUAAAAAUUCUGUGUGUAUUUUUUAAUUAUGUGUAUAUACAUACAUUUACACAGGAAAAUGUCUGAAAGGAAAUAAGCCAAAAUGUACAUUGUAGUUAUAGCUGAGUGAUAGACAUCUGAGUGAGGUUCAUUUAUUUUUGUUUUACUUUUGAAUUUUUCCAUGCUUUCUACAAAUGCUUUUAUUAUCAGAAAAUACAUCAUUAUAUAAAAUAAGACCAGCUGUUACGCUUAGAAGCAGUUCCUUUCAUUUCAGAUUUUUGGAACUUCUACAAUCUAAGUGUAUGACUAUCUUAAAAUGUGAAUUAGUGGAAUUUUCUAUAUUUUUCUCUCAAAAGUAAGAGGGUAUUUUAAUUUAUGUGGUUCAAGAUAUUUAAAUAUGCAUAUAUUAUAUUAAGGAAAUGACUCAUGGUUAUAGAGGCUGGGAAGUCUCAAGUCCAUGGGUCAGGCUGGAGGAUUCUCCUGACUCAUGUAUCUGCAGGUGCUGGCAAACCCAAGAUCAACAGGUCAGACAGCAGACCACUGGGUCACACGAUGCAGAGGCUGACAAAUCCCAAGAUUGGCAGGUAAGAUGGCAGGCAGCCAUCCCACAGGCUGUGGAGGCUGAUGGACCCUAAGAUCAGCAGGUAAGCUGCUAGCUCAAGUCCUAAGAAUCAGAGGUCAGAUGAGAAGCCAGCUGCAGGAUCCAGAGCAAGCAAAAGCCAGCGAGCUUUGCCAGAAAGUCCACAUAUAUUGGAUGCAGGCCACACCCCCAAGGAAACUCCAUUUCAACAGAUUGUCUGCUCAUGGCAGAUCUUAACAAGGUGGUGACAUUUUAUCAGAUCACAUUGUGGGGGUGAUGACUUCAUUAUGUAACUGACAGACUACAUCAUAACUGCCCUACCACUGAGAAUCAUGGCCCAGCCAAGUUGACACACAACCUUAACCAUCACAGUCUACCCUUUGUCAACUUGGCACCCAUACACAUCUUCCUUAACCAUACACAAUCUCUCAAUAAAGAAUAUUAUAAAGCCACACUUGUGCCGAACAUGAUACAACUAAAUGUGUAUGACCAAAAGCACUAGCCCUUUUACAUCUUAUGUUUUAUAAGUGAAUAAAACAAAAAUAUUUGAUGCACACUGUUAAUGGAUUAAAUCGUGUCCUCAAAAAAUGUGUGUCAAGUUGGCUAGGCCAUGAUUCCCAGUAUUGUGUGAGUGUCCAGGAUUUUGUCAUCUGAUGCGAUUUUCCUAGUAAAUCCUAUCUUUGUGAUGUUAAUGAGGCAGGAUUAGUGGCAGUUAUGUUGAUGAGGCAGAACUCAAUCUACAAAAAAGGAGACAAGUGAACAAAGGGGAGGACCCAUACCAAGAAAGCAGAGCCAGGACCACAUGUCCUAGACCAGGAAAAGAUUGAUAACAAAGACCUUCCUCCAGAGCUGACAGAGAAAGACUUCCCCUGGAGCUGGCACCCUGAAUUCAGACUUCUAGUCUCCUAGACUGUGAGAGAAUAAACUUACGUUUCUUAAAGCCAUCCAUUUGUGGUAUUUCUGUUAUAGCAGCACUAGAUAACUAAGACACAUACAAGGAAGAAAUAUAACAAUUACAGCCCUCAUUUCUGCAACUGUAUUUAGAAAUACCUUUUUCUACCACCCAUUCUGUAUUCCCGUUACUCUCAGCAAGCACCUCAGCUGGUUGUACUUUGGUGGGGCGAUCCAAACUAUUCCUGAAGGGUCUGAGCCAUUAGUAGUCAUGUUGGAAUUGGCAUGGUAUUACUAAGAGACAUCCUAAGGGAUCUCCUGUAUUCAAGACAUACUCUACUGCCAUUAUGUAAUAUCAAUCUGAUUUCCUCUUGCUAAUCAUCAGUCACACCAGCCAAUAUGAUAACUUCCUUCUUUGCCUGUUGAUCCAGAGGCACGAGGAGUACAAAGUGGCCUGGUGGCAUUCUUAAAUUAUAGUUAAAUGGAAUCAGUGUUUUCUCUCUUGGUGGGAGCAUUCCACCCUUUGGAACUAAGACCUCUAGACCCACAGAGCAUAAUGUCCUGGGGACAGGAAGCAAAAAGGAGGAAUACAGAGUGCUGCCAUUCUCAUUCCAUCCCUUUUUUCCUGGACCCAUGAACCGUAGCUAUGGUAGAAACAAUACCAUAUAUUGUACACUGGUUUAGAGCAUAUACAGCAUUGCCCCAACCCUACAAGAUGCUGUCAUCUAGCUCGUGCCAUAAUUGUGUCUCAAGAAGGCCAUUCCAUUGUUCUGUCAAGCCAGUUGCUUCAGGAUGAGGGGGAACAUGGUAAGACCAGUGAAUUCCAUGAGCAUGGUCCCAUUGCGGCACUUCAAUUGCUGUGAAGUGAGUCCCUUGAUCUGAGGCAAUUCUGUGUGGGAUAACAUAAUGGUGGAUAAGGCAUUCUGUAAGUUCACAGAGAGUAGUUUUAGCAGGAGCAUCGUGUGUAGGAAGGGCAAAUCUGUAUCCAGAGUAGGUGUGCACUCCAGUAAAAACAAAAUGCUGCCCUUCCUAUGAGAGAAUCAGUCCAAUGUAAUCAAUCUGUCACCAGAUUGCUGGCUGAUCACCUUGAGAAAUAGUGCCAUAUCAGUCUUUGCUGUGGGCACAUUGGGAACUCAGCAGUGGCUGUAGCCAAGUCAGCCUUGAUGAGCGGAAGUCCAUGUUUCUGAUCACAUGCAUAACCUCCAUCCCUGCCACCACGGCCGCAUUGUUCAUGAGCCCAUUGGGCAAUGAUGGGAGGGGCUGGGGAAAAAGGAUGACUGGUUUCCAUAGAAGCAUCAUCCUUUCCAUUUGAUUGUUAAAAUCCUCCUCUGCUGAGGUCAUCCUUCAGUGGACAUUCACAUGAGGCACAAAUAUCUUCACUUCUUUGGCCCAUUCAGAGAGGUCUAACCACAUAACUCCUUGUCACCAAUUUUCCAAUCAUGUUCCUUCCAAGUCCCUGACCAAACCAUUGGCCACAGCCCAUGGAUUAGUAUACAAUCACAUACCUGGCCAUUUCUUCCAAGUGAACAACCAGGUGCAGCACUCGAAGUUCUGCCCAUUAGGAGGAUUUCCCUUCACCACUGUCCUUCAGGGACGUCCCAAAAGGAGCUGUAGUGGUGCCACUGUACACUUUGGUGCCAGCAUAUUGUGCAGAACCAUCAGUAAACUAGGCACAAGUUUUCUCUUCCUCAGUCAAUUGUCAUAAGGAACUCCCCGUGAGGCCAUAGAUGCAGACUGGGAGAGAACAGGUAAUGUGACAGCAGUAGGGACCAUAGGCAUUUGGGCCACUUCCACAUGCAACUUGUGCCUUCAGGUCCUGCUUGGGCCCAAUCUUGUAUAUACCACUUCCAUUUAAUGAUGGAGUGCUGCUGUGCACGUCCAACUUUAUGACUCUGUGCGUCAGACAACACCCAGUUCAUGAUGGGCAGUUCAGGCUGCGUGGUGACUUGGUGUCCCAUUGUCAAGCGUUCAGUCUCUAAAGGCCCAAUAACAAGCCAAAAGCUGUUUCUCAAAAGGAGAGUAGUUAUCUGCAGAAGAUGGCAGGGCUUUGCUCCAAAAUCCUAGGGUCUGUGCUGUGAUUCACCAAUAGGGGCCUGCCAAAGACUCCAAAGAACAUUCCUAUCUGCCACCGACACUUCAAGCACCAUGGGAUGAUCUGGGUCAUAUGGCCCAAGUGGCCGAGUGGCUUGCAUGGUAGCCUGAACCUGUUGCAGAGGCUUCUUUUCUGGUCUCCACUCAAAACUAGUAGCUUUUUAAAGUUGCUUGAUGGACUGGAGUAGCAUACCCAAAAGAGGCCCACCAGGUGUUGUGCCUCCUAUUUAGUUGUGGGAGGAGCCAGGUGCAAUAACUUAUCCCUCAUUUUAGGAAGACUGUCUUGCCAUGCCCCACACCACUGGACCCCUAGAAAUUUCACUGAAGUGGAAGGUGCCUGAAAUUUUGGGAUUUAUUUCUUACCCUCUAGCAUGCCAAUGUAUUAAGUGUCAUCAGUGUAAUGGACCAGCAUGACAUCUUGUGGAAAGGAAAGUUGAUCAAGGUCCCUAUGGACUAAAUUAUGACAUAGGGCUGGGGAGUUAACAUACUGCUGAGAUAAGGCAGUAAAGUUGUAUUGCUGACCUUCCAGCUGAAGCCAAACUGUUUCUGAUGGUCCUUUGAAAAAGGUAUGGAGAAAAAGGCAUUGGCUAGAUCAAUAGGUACAUACUGGGUACCACGUCAUGUAUUAAUUUGCUCAAGCACUGAAACCACAACUGGAACAGCAGGUGCAAUUGGAGCCACCACCUGGUUAGAUUUUCAAUAGUCCACCAUCCAUUCUCCAAGCUCCAUCUGAUUUUUGCACAGGCCAAAUAGGAUAGUUGAAUGGCAAUGUGGUGAGAUUCACCACCCCUGCAUCCUUUAAGUCCUUGAUGGUGGCAGUAAUCUCUGCAAUCCCUCCAAAUAUGCUGUAUUGCUUUUGGCUUACUAUUUCCCUAGGUAGGGACAGUUCUGAUGGCUUCCAUUUGGCUUUUCCUACCAUAAUAGCCCUUACUCUACUUGUCAGCAGUCUAAUGUGGGGUUUGAGCCGGUUGCUGAAUAUCUCUAUUCCCGUGAUGCAUUCUGGAACUGGGGAAAUCCCUACAGAAUGGGUAUAAGGACACACUGAAUCCACUGUGACCAAACCUGAGCUAAGACUUCAUUAAUAACUUGACCACCUUAUACCUCUACUCUGACUGGUGAGCCACAGUGAUGUUUUGGGUCUCCUGGAAUUACUGUUCAGAGCUAGUAUCCAGUAAGUCCUGAAAAGCCAUUAGUCCCUUCAUUCAAUGAGUUGUGGGUUUAUAAACUGUCUCAAACCUGGGAAUUGAUUGAGGGGCCAUGACUCUCUGUUCUGGCAAUUCAAGUUAGGCUCCCAUUUAUUUGGCCUAGAAUUUGUCCACUUUUACAGAUAAAGUAAAUAGUAGAUUUCCCAUCUAUUUCACUCCUAGGGAAACUGUAACUAAUCUAGCGCCGUAAGUCCAUAGGAGACUAUUCUGAUUACUGCUUUGAUUCUGCUGUCCACAACAGUAACCAUGCCUACCUUGUCUCUGUCGAUUGAGUGACACCACUUGCCCCUACCACCACGGGGUCCAAUUAGCCCUAUUACAGUUAGGUGUUUUAAUGCGGUUAGGGUAGUUCCCACUGUCAAAUCUGACUUACAUAAAAUAGCAAUCACAGCAGUCUUCAAGGAUGCUGGAGCUCCCUUCACAAAUUUGUGUCUCACCUUUGUGGCAAAAGGUGUAUACUCUGGGCACUCCAUGUGUGGGUCUGUUGUUCUAACCUGAUAAAUCUACUCAAACACGCCAAUUUCCGUAAGUCUUUGGAUUCCUUCUGCAGUAUACCAAGAUAGCUCUAGCACUUCAGCUUUAUUUAGUGUGGGCCACAGCAGAAUCCAUGCUUCAGCAAACCAACCAAAUAAACUAUUAGAUUCUUUCCUAACUUCUCAAGCCAAAACAGUGAAUGAAGAAUCUGUGCUUAGUAGGCCCAUAUCAAUAAACUCAAACUGAUCCAACUUUAUGUUCCUUGCAUCGUUAUCCCACACCCUUAAUAGCCAUUCCCACACAUAUUCCCCCAGGUCUCCAUUUAUACAUAUUAGAAAAUUCAAGCAGGUCAUUUGGAGUGUAGUAUACCUCCUCCUGGGUCAUGCUUGUGCUUCACCUUUUGGAGCUCACUGGAACUUAAGUCUUGUUAUAGGUCUAGAAGCAAAAAUGGGUGGUGGGGAUAUGUUCUGAGAACAUUCAGCAAUGUCUUGUAAGGCAUCUGCCUCAAGUGAUGUCCCAGGCCUGAGUCAGAUGCCUCCCCAGGGGAUGACUCACACAAAGGCUCUUCAGACAUAGCUGGGCUAUUCUCAUCAGAUAGCAGUGGAGGAGUAAUAGUUUUACUUGGGAGGGUGGUUUAGCAAGAAAACAUGGAGUAAUCUCUUCACAUGGACAUGAGAGGGUUGUGUUGGCAGAAGUGAUUCAAUAGAAUUUAGGGGCUCAGUAUCCCCAGCUUCCUGAUUAUCUGCCCAUAUGUCUCCACCCCAAGUUUCAGGAUCCUAAUUCUUCCCAAUCAAUGUCCUCACUUUAGCUUCAGCUAUCAUUUGAGGUUGGGAAAUCAAUUGGCAUUGUAAUUCAGCCACUCUUAUAAGACUUCAGGUUUGUUUUUUUGGCAAUAUCAGCUCUGUUACUACAAACAAUAAGGUUCUCUUUCAAGGCACAAGUGGAAAUUUUGAGGUCAUUUAUGUGACCCUUGAACUGUGACUCUGAAGCUCUGAGUUCAUCUCUUUCUUUCACCACUUUGUCUAGUGAAAGUAGUUCCAACCAACCAGCCUCCUUAUACUUCUCAUUAGGACAAAAUUGUAGAAAGGUGUGACACAUGCAAUCACCCAGAGCCUCACCUUUCACCAAUACCUGAUCUUUUGGUGGUGAUAUUUUGCGUCUUUGUAUUGCCGCCUUAUGCCAUGGAUUAGCGGUGCCCUCUUUACUACUGGAAAGCAGAGUCAUCAACAUCUUUAAGACUAAUGAGAUUGAGAACCAAUUUCGAAAAGUCAUCCUUACAAUUUUGUUUCUGCAACCAAUCUCUGUACCAAAUGUCAUAGGCUGGGUUCUCUAGAGAAACAAAGUUAGUGAAGCAAAGCAUAAGUAUAUAUAGAGAUUUAUAGCAAGGAAAUGGCUCAUGUGGUUGUAGAGGCUGGGAAGUCCCAAGUCCGUGGGUCAAGCUGGAGGCUUCUCCUAACUCACAUAGCUAUAAGGAUCAGCAGGUCAGACAACAGGCCUGUGGAUCAUAGGCCGAAGAGGCCAACAAACCCCAGGAUCAGCAGAUAAAAUGGAAGGCCACUGGCUCACAGACUGUGGAGGCUGACAAAUCCCAAGAGAGGCAAGUAAGAUGGUAGUUCAUUGCUCACAGGCUGCGGAGGCUGACAAAUCCCAAGAUCAAGACCGAAGAACUGGAUUUCAGAUGUGGAGCCAGCUGAAGGAUCCAGAACAAGCAAAAGCCAGUGAGAUUUGCCAGAAAGUCCACAUAUAUUGGACUCAGGCCACAUUUCCAAUGAAACUCCCUUUCAACUGGUUGUCAGCUCAUAGCAGACCUCAUUAUGGAAGAAAUUACACCAUUACACAGCUGCCAAAGUACAUCAUAACUGUCCAACCACUGAGCAUCAUGACCCAGCCAAGUUAACACACAACCUUAACAGUUACACUUUUCUACCAACCAAAAGGUUAGAACCCACCCAGCAGUGCCACAAAAGAAGGACCUGGUGGAGUGCUUCCAUAAAGAUUACAGCCAAGAAAACCUUAUGGAGCAGUUCUACUGUGUAACACAUGGGGUCACCAUAAGUCAGAACCAACUCAACGGCAAUGGGUUUGGAGAUAUAUAUAUCCUUAAUAGAAAAAAAAUUCCCAAUCCCUGACUCUAUCAGUUAUUGUGAUAGCCUCCACCCCAAUUCCUGCCUAGAUUACUGUAACAGUCUUUAUGCUCUGUGUUUCCAUUUCCUCUCUGUAAUUAAGUCCAUACUGUAAUUAAAAAGGAUUAGUGAGACCUAUGCUCAUGAUGCCAGAAGAGUAAUCAUCUUAAAAUAUGGCUUUCAUUUAAAUUUUGCUCACAAGUCGUAAAUGAUAGGUUGCAAAAGAGUAUAGCAUAGUCCCAUUUCUGUAAUAAUAAUAUUAACAUAUCAUAUGUACAGAAAAAAUUGAAAAUAUGUACCAAAUUAUUAAGAGAACUUUUCUCUAGGAGUACUGGGAUUUUUCUGGGGGGUAGGGCUACAUUCUAAUUUUUAUGUUUCAGAAAUGUUUUACAAAAAGCCUAGGAUUUUUUUAUUAAACAUUUUUCAUGCUAGUAUGAAUCUUUGUAAACAUAAUAGACUAUUUUUAUAAUGCAAAAAGAAAUAAAAGUGGGGAAGGAAUUCUUUACUGAAUUCCCACUGUCUGGAGGAUGAAAUCCAACCCCCCCCCUUUUUUUUAUUCUUAUUUUUGUUGUUGUUGAGAAUAUACACAGCACAACAUACACCAAGUCAACAAUUUCUACGUGUACAAUUCAGUGACAUUGAUUACGUUCUUCGAGGUGUGCAACCAUUCUCAUGCUCCUUCUCUCAGUUGUUCUGUCCCCUUAAAAUAAACUCACUGCCCCACUAAGUUUCUGUCUAAUCUUUCUAGUUGCUGUUGUCAAUUUGAUCUCAUAUAGAUAGAUGUUAAAAGCACAAUGCUCAAGGCAGACAUUCUUUACUAGUUAUGCUAAACUAGUUUGGUUUUAAGAAGGCUUCAAAGGAUACUUUUGGUUUAAGAUUUAAACUCUUUUCUUUUUAUCCAAAUACCUAUCUUCAAAACCUACCUAUUCAAUAAAACCCAUCCGGUCUGCUCCAGCCUCCUCACAGAAUUUCUACAGCGCUUUCUGGCUUUUCCAUUUGUGUUUGCAUUUUAUCACAUGCUUGAUCAUAACAUUAUUUAAAUAGUUUCUCAAUUAAUUUAUGGACACUUAA
Molecule: long non-coding RNA, 20526 nt
Organism: Loxodonta africana (African savanna elephant)
Lineage: Eukaryota; Metazoa; Chordata; Mammalia; Proboscidea; Elephantidae
Exons: 3
Source: RefSeq, a predicted model, not a curated record